GGGACACCCGAUCCAAUGCAUACCAGGACCGAGUUAGGAAGGAGGUGGCCUUGGAGCAAGUUGCCCAUAGCAUGAGGCGGCCCGAAUGGACCAAAGCAGAUGGCCGAAGCCGUGCAGAUUUAGUGAAACAGACAAAAACCCGGUGGAACAGCUGCCAGGAUCAAUUCCACCAGGAUCUAACAAACAAAGGCCGGAGUAGGGAAGGCAGCUCCAAAAAAAGUCCGUAUUUGUACACGGCCCAGUUGCAAUUUUUGAGACCGGUGAUGGAUUUGAGACCUACUGUGGACAGUCUGGAUGACCCAGAGGGGCGAAAGUGACACUCCGGCAGUAUUUUCCCCGGCAAGUAGUCCUGCCCCAACGCCGCUGACCAUCACUGGCCCAUCCCACCCUAUUACCGCGGAGCCCAGAAAGAGUCCAACAGCCGCAGCCCAGGCGUCGCCACAAUGUCCCUCACUCUUCCUCUGGGCAACCGACUCAGGAGAUGAUCGAUGCCCGAGUCAUUGAAUUCCUUGCCCAGAGGAGGAGGAGUGAUGUCAUGGAAGAGUCGAUGUUGAGGGGCCUUGCUCCUUUAUUGAAGCAGGUCCCUACCGACAAACAUCAUCAGUGUGUUGCUUUGCUGGCCCUCAUAAUCGAAAUGUAUGCCUCCCUUACCAGGGAGAUAUACACUUGUAAAUUAACGACUUGCGAAGGUAAAUCUUGAACAUCCCACCACAGCAGCAUGGACGCAGCUACCCCCAGCCUCCACACCCACCUCACGGGCCAUCUUGGGCUCCCCCCCCAACCACCAUACAACCAGUCCUAAGACCCUACACAACCUGUUGGUCAGCCAAGUUACCAGCCCAGUUUGGCAACUGGGGCCACAUAUCCUGGCCAUGUACGGCCACGCUCAAUAUAUGGGCCUGGCUCGUUUACACGAGACCUGUUUGA
This is a long non-coding RNA of Bufo gargarizans (Asiatic toad), 927 nucleotides long. RefSeq lists it as uncharacterized. The record is from RefSeq and is a predicted model, not a curated record. The transcript is spliced from 3 exons. Lineage: Eukaryota; Metazoa; Chordata; Amphibia; Anura; Bufonidae.